AGACGCAUCAUGCCACAGGUCACCGGCGUAUUUUAUAUGCGGCGUCUUUGAAAUAUUCAUGUUGGCACAGUCCGUGGAUUCAGCCACAUUCGAGUGUUGGCUCGCGACUGCAGCCAACUGCAGUGGACACGGUGACGGGCGCAGCAAGCAUGACGUGUGGGAGCUACUGUACGCGCAUGUCUCAUUGCUGACGCAACGCGGAACAAAGAAAGAACCCUAAGCAACGAGAAUAUAUCCGCGACCUUGUCUCCUGAAGCUGAAGCAGAACGGGCAACAGUUUGACAACGAAUACCCUUGGUAGCAGGAAUUGUAUAGCUGUACUAUGAAGCCCCCUCUGUAUGAGAUGUUUUCACCGAACAACUGUUGUGUAAUAAAGGCUCUUCGUGUUGAACACCACCUAGUUUCAAUUGGGUGACCAUUUACUAUUAACUGGAUUGCCUGUUGAACACCAGUUCACUUUAACUGGUUACCCAUUUGGACACCGGUUAGCUUCAAUUGGAUUACCACAUCUAUUCAAUUGGUUAACCAAUUAAACACCACCUAGUUUCAAUUGGGUGACCAGUUACGAUUAACUGGAUUACCAGUUGAACACCAAUUCAGU
This is a long non-coding RNA of Rhipicephalus sanguineus (brown dog tick), 601 nucleotides long. RefSeq lists it as uncharacterized. NCBI's taxonomy places the organism in Eukaryota, Metazoa, Arthropoda, Arachnida, Ixodida, Ixodidae. The record is from RefSeq and is a predicted model, not a curated record. The transcript is spliced from 3 exons.